GAAAUGGAUGAAAUGAAAGAGCUACUACCAUUUAUUGAAUGUUGAAUAUGUGCUAAUCACUGGACAAGGAGGCUUGUGCCUUUGUGAUUAGCACAUACAAGGAUCAUAUAAAUGUAAUCAUCUCAAUUCCUCUGUGAAGUACGUCUUUUUACCUCCAGAAGGACUUAAGAUUCAGAGAGGGUAAGAGGCUUGCCCAAAGACCGCAGCUACCAGGUGACAGAUCAGAAUUCAAAUGCAGGACGACGGCAAGAUGCUUACUAGCAGAUCAUUUUAAACGAGCAUGCCUGGCACGCAGUAAGCACUCCGUAAGUAGUGUCGUCUGCUACCACUGGUGUUCUUAGAAAGGCUCUGGCCCAACCCUAUCCUAGAAUCAUCACUCCAUUGCAGGCUUGACACUGGAACCAACUCUUUGCUCUGGAAUUAGGUCAAAUCAUUGCUGGCUUCAGGCCCUUCUCCAUUAAAAAACGUACCCAUGGAGAUAAUGAAUGCACUGAAUUUCUACCAGUCAUUACGCCUUGGUGUCAAUCAGAAGGAAUGUCCCAUAGGAAGGCUAGGACUGGGCAUUCCUCUCUACCUAUCACAUGAUUCGAUGAGCACAGGGUGCUGUGGUUUGAUGUAUAGAGUCUGCCUUUCUUAAAGGAGCCCUGAUUGUGGCCUGGAGGGGCCUAUGUGACAUGAUUCCCGUGAGGCCAGCCUAGCAGAGGGCAGGAUGGCUAUCUCUCUACUGUGGCUACAGCUGCCUUUGGAGCUUUCUCAGGAAUCCCGGGUGUCCACUGAUUGAACAAAUGUACACAAACACAGCAGAGCCUGCUCCUGCCAGAAACAGACUCAAAGCUACAGCGACCAGUCCCAGAAAAGUUCCCCCAGGCCAGCUCAACUCCCACCAGCAGGGGUCACACCUGAGCAGCCAGAAGGGUGAGGGGCCCUGAUAGUCUGGCCUACCAACCAGCAAACCUUUGUAUGCUGCGGGUGAGGUCCAUACUCAGUCAGCACAUGGAAGGGGAACUGGAGGAGAACAUUAAGCUGAGAGGAGGUCCUGGUGGGCUGGGGCCAACUCCCCAGGAGCAGAGGAAGCAGCCAGCAGCCUGGAUGGGCAGAGGUGAGACCAGGCUGGGCCCAGAGGGACUGAAGCUGCUACUAGCAUGGCACGGUCCUGGGAGCUUUGAGGACACCCACAGAGACAGACGGUGCACACCGAGGGUUCCGCUGCUCAGGAACAGGCAUGGAGAAGAAAGUUGCACUUAGAAGCCCAACAGGAGUUUUGCAAGACAAAAGUUUAAUGAAAGGAGAGAAGAGCACAGAAACUGAAGGUAGGCCCCUUCCUUACAUUUGCUUAUCAGCUCAGAAGCAGAGCUCAGAGACAGCAGCCGCCAGAGGAUCUGGGAGCUGACUUUACUCUUACUGUAAAUCUACCUUCCCACAUUUUCCUGCCUUUUGGAAGCCUGAAGAUACUCUCCUCUUUGUCUUGUCAUUGAAUAGAAUUUAUGGCUCUUUGUUAAAAUACUAUUUAAGCAAGGCCUCUAAAGCCGCUGCCUUGAGAGAGAAAAAGAGUUUUGAACUGAGGCCUCUUCUGUGUGAUGGGUACAGCACAUGUUAAUAAACUUCUGCUUGUUUUUCUUUUGUUAGUCUGACUUUUGUUUUCAGGAGUGUAUCUCAACUUAGAACCAAAAAAGAUAAAGAAAAGAAAUGUUUUCUCC
Molecule: long non-coding RNA, 1697 nt
Filed under: Homo sapiens (human)
Lineage: Eukaryota; Metazoa; Chordata; Mammalia; Primates; Hominidae
Description: HSALNT0181209
Source: RNAcentral